This 74-nucleotide transfer RNA is filed under the name Amaricoccus macauensis. It matches the Rfam family "tRNA". From Rfam's summary of the family: Transfer RNA (tRNA) molecules are approximately 80 nucleotides in length. Their secondary structure includes four short double-helical elements and three loops (D, anti-codon, and T loops). Lineage: Bacteria; Pseudomonadati; Pseudomonadota; Alphaproteobacteria; Rhodobacterales; Paracoccaceae. RNAcentral also lists the same sequence under 5 other names. The record is from Rfam by way of RNAcentral.
GCGGUUGUAGCUCAGUCGGUUAGAGUGCCGGCCUGUCACGCCGGAGGUCGCGGGUUCGAGCCCCGUCAACCGCG